This is a long non-coding RNA of Pezoporus flaviventris, 5023 nucleotides long. RefSeq lists it as uncharacterized. NCBI's taxonomy places the organism in Eukaryota, Metazoa, Chordata, Aves, Psittaciformes, Psittacidae. The transcript has 2 exons. The record is from RefSeq and is a predicted model, not a curated record.
CAUCCUCUCGCUGGGCGUGUGCGGCGGCUGCGCUGGGCUCGGCUGAGCCCGGCCCCGGCUGAGCCCGGCCCCGCGUUUGCUCAUCGACGUGGGGAGAGUUGGCGCUGAGGAUGCGCAGCGAACUCCUGCGGGGCUGCUGCCCGAGGGGGUGGGCUGCAGCAGCGGGAGGGCCCGGCGACAGCACCCCCGGAGCCGCGGGAGCCGGCGGGGCACAGUAAUGGUGCGGGAUGGGCCGAUGGUGAGGGCGGGGGGCUCUGUCCCGCUCCCGGGAAGCGGCUGUGCAGGGGAGGGAGCUGCUGUGAUUUCAUGCCAAGUUUUUAACGCGGAGGUUACGGAGACAUAGAAAUGUUAGCUGGAAGCGACCUCUGGAGGUCUCUAGCCCAAACGCCCCCUCGGAGCGGGACCCACGGACAACAGGUCAGGUCAGCUGUGGCUUUACUCGGUGUGAAACUGAAAACCUCCAGGGAUGGAGGUUCCCCCACCUCCCUGUGCGACCCGCGGCAGCGGUGCCCCACCACCUGGUGAAUGAGGUUCUCCUGGGGCCUGUCUGACUCUCCCGCUGACCCUGACCGCUUAUUUAGCUGUCACCUCCUGUUGUGACACCUACUACUGCCAAGAAGAACUUGGCUCCAUCGUCUUAAUAAUUGCCCUUAAGUAGCCGUAAACUGCAAUUAGAUCUGCAGAUUAGAUCUCGCCAAAGCAAACAAACUGCCCCUUCUAGUUCAGGUGCACCAGGUGCUGGAACCUCUUCUCUACAUCUGUUUUUAAAUGGGGGGAGGGAAUUGUUAAUGAUACAGGAAUUAUCUUUAUUUAUUGAUAUUUAUAGGUGGUUUCACUACAGAAAAGGGGGUGAGGAUGCAGCCUAUAUUUAGGCCCUAAAGCGCUAGUGAGGACUGAAAGCCUGAAGAAGUGUCUGGGUUGUCCUAGUUCCACCCGACCUCACAGCAGUUGGGAGAUACUGCUGUCCCUGGCUGCUCAAGCUGAGUGUCAGGGUCUCAUGUCUGGAAGGUGCUUUUUGUCCUUGGUGGUAACAUCACCUGAAAAGAUGGUGAGCAAACAGGACAUGGAGGAGUUAGUCAUCUUCAGAAGUGCUCGGGUUAAGGGAUGUGGUGUGCUAGCAGGGGCAGCCUGAUUUUUAUCUCUGCCCAUGUGGAAGAUUGCAGGCUCCAUGCUCCCAGUGCCUUGCUUUCCACUAACGUUCCAGGGGGAAGGUCUCCAAAACGCACACCAGAGCGAGCUUCAGGAAGUUACCAUAGUUCGGCAUGCUCAUAUCGUGUCAUCACAGUGCAUGAUGCUUAUGUACUGUGCAACUCUACUGCAGCAGGAGUAACAGGGGUCCCAGGUUACAGAGGAGCUGAGCUAGAGAAGGUGCAGGUCAGCCACUGCACAAAACCAUCUGUGCAUUCACAAUAUUUCCUUUAUUCCUGUUUAUACAAAGAAAUUCGGGAUUACAGUCCAGUUUGAAUCAAACUAAAGGCAAGUAGCAGGACAACGCUUGUACCUUCCCACUCUGGUUCCCCGAUAACCUCUUCUAUCAGCUAUUUGCAUUUCAGUGGCUUUCCAAGCCUCUGGUAAUUGUUGAGGGAGGACGUGGGUAAAAGGCUAUUAUAUUAGAGUUAGCAAGCCUGAAGGCAUGAGAGAGCAUCGCAGCAGCUGAUGCAACCCGUGACAGUAUAUUGUUUGCAGUGCUGUUCGAGCCUGGGGUGCACACCAGUGCCUGUGAGUUGAUUCAUAAUUACAAAGAGAAGUAUGAAUGUACCAUUUAAGUGACAGGAGGGCGGGCAGCAGCAGUGCUGUGCUUUGAAACUGGAGGGAAACAGGGCGGUUCAAACUGGGAAUUCGUCUGACUGAACUCCCCAAUAACCAAGGCUGCCAUCUGUGACCGGUGGUGCCCAGCCAGCGCGGGGCUGUGUGCAGCGGCACAAGUUGUGUCUUUAAGGGAAGCCAAGCCCAAGGCAGCUGGAAAGCCUGGGGACCCGCCAGCGAGUGACUCAGCAUCUCCUGACCUGUGCCCGGGAGCCCAGGCUAUUCUUGGUUCCGGGUGUGUUUAAGGCAGGCAGCCCAGACUUAAACACUUCCAGUUGCUCUGCAGAGGAUGUGUCUGUGCUGAGGCUGGAGCUUCGCAUGCAUUAUGUUGUCCAGGGCUGUAGUGCCGUCUUCUUGUUGGAUCGCUUUCCUCCAACAUCAAGGGGGCUAAGGCCUUUUCAUUUUCUUCUCUUGAGCUAGAUUCAACUGUAAUCCUUAAAUAGCGGAAUAAAUGGCCAUUGGAGGAGCUUUCAGUGGGAAAAUAUACUUACUUCCCAUUACGUUUUAAGAGGUAUCAAUGCUCAAUUCUUCUUGCUGCCUUUGAAAAUCUCCUCCCUGGACUUAGCAUGCUUUUGUCUAUCAAAGCAAAAAUAUGCUUAAAGGGAAGGGGAAAUGCUGAUCAGGAAAGGUAAUGCUGGGUCACACAAAAAUCUGGUUUAGAAUCUUUUUCUUCCUGAAUAUUCGAAUCAUUUAGCAGGAUUAAAACAUGUAAUCCGUUAGAUCUCAGAGCCCCUCAAAGGCGCUAAUCUAUUACCCUUGAUAAGUGAUGGACACAUAAAAAGCAUCAAUUUAGCUGCUAGUGGAGUGCUCCUGUUUUAAAAGCUGAAUGAGCUGUCAUGUAGAAAUGCAUAGCCUUGCCACACAGUUAUCUGUGAUGGAAAAUGAAAAUACUAUAGACCAUUUAAAAUGAGCAGUUUCAAAGGCUGAAUUACAUUUUCACCUGUGUCCAUCUCCUGCCUGAGGUAUUGUUGUUUUAUGGCCUUGUUUCCAAAUACAGUAAUCCUUUUUUAAGUAAAAAAUUUGCUAAUUUGGAGUCUUUUAAAUUCCCUUACAAAGCUGGAAUGUGCCUGAUCAGAUCUUCUAAAUGCCUUGUUUUCUAAAGUCCUGAUUAAAGUUGUGAUCCAAGUAGUUCCUUAAAAAAGGCAAGUCAAGCAGUAGUAUGAGAUGGCAACACUACAAACAGCCCUUAUCCUGUGCAACCCCAGCGGCCCUGUGGUUAAGUAUCAGGGGUAUUCCCAGUCUCUUCCAUCACCCGGGAGAAGGAAGGAGCAGCUUUCCCUGGGCAAUGGGCUGUCAGGCCGCCGGGCUGUUGGCUCUGGUCCUGCGCCAGAGCUGACAUCCAACGGAUUUUCCUCCUGCAGUGCCAGCAGCUGAGCUGCGGGAAGGGGCAGGGGCUCGGUUCCCUUCAACUCGUGGUGUUCUGUGGCUGGCUGCAGUGGCUUGCCCUGUGGAAGUCACGGCUGAGUAGAGCUCCCUGUAAACAGACUUACUCUGCUUCUCACUGCCUGCCAAGUGCCGAGUACUGCUUGUCAUAACCAUUUUCUCAGAGAGCCUCCAGUCUGGUUCCUCAAAAAACCGAUACAUUGGGGGAUGUUUAUACAAGCUGAUUUUAAGUAUGUAAUUUCUCUGCCUACAUUAGAUGUCUAGACUCCUGCUGUAAUCAAAAGUGAGGGGCAGGAUCCUAAUUACAGUGCUCUCAGUUACACCCUAAAAGAUCCCUUGCCUGUAUGGAGAGCAUGGGUACAUUACGUAGGUGCUUAAAAUGGGUCUGAAUGUUCCCUGUUGUGUGCUGGGUCUGCCACUGCUACUGCAAACAGGCACAGAACCUCUUUGCCUUGUAUAAAUCAAAUGCUUCAGUUGCACUCUUAAAGGAGAAAUGUUUGUAGCACUUGAAUGGAAAUUAACUGGAGAGUGCAUUUAUUUUUGGCCAGUCCCCUGGGAGCACCUGCCAAACAUUACCUCUCAUUUCAAGCCUGGCUGUUCCUGCUGAGAAAGUCUGAUGGAGCUUCGAGUCUGGGUCAAGGUGAGAUCCUGGCUCUUCAUCAGCUGUCUGUGCCAUUUAAAAGGGAAGGAGGAAAGAAAGCUAAGCAGCGGAUUGGGUAUGAGGAAUGGUGUGCUCCUGCUAGACAGCUCAGCAAUGAGAAGAAACAGGACUGCUUGGGUAUGGUUUAUGUACCGAUUAAAUGCACCUGCUGGUCCCCAAGCAUCAAUGUGCAGUUUUAGAAUGAAAAUGUUGAAUAAUAAAUUAAACUGAGAAAAUUAAUUCCGGCCUCGUCUACUCUGGGACGAUAGCCAAUUGCUUAAAACAAGGCUUACUUGCACCUGUCUGAAACCAGAGUACCUGGCACAAGCCAUGGUGCCUAUGUAAAAGCUCUUCGAGAGUCAUUAAUGCUGUCAUGUGGAUGUGCUCAAGUGUCGGCGAUGGGGACUUCGGUAAUCGGUGGACCAAUCUCUCCACUUCCAUGGAAGCACAACUUGAAUGUGCACAGGGAUGUGUCUUGCAGGGUGCCUCUUUUCCCACUUCCCAGCACCAUGUCACCAGUACCGUGCUAUUCCAGGGCUGGGCAUGGCAGCACUCAUGGGCAGAGAUGCUGAGGAGUUUAUUUACUCAUAAUAACUAUGAUCUCAAAUGGAAGGAUACUGGGACAUUGGGGUCAAUCCACAUUUCUCUCAAAUGCAUUAGAAACUGAUGUUUGCUCUCUAAAUUCCUGAAAAGCAGCAAAACCCGGUGUUUUCGUAUUCUUUUUAUUACUAUUAUUUUAUUUUCCACCAGGGACAGAAAUUGCUGGCUGAGAAUCUGAGGCCUGAACCCAAAGAAAACAUGUCUCAAAAGCAGCGUAACUGCUCUGGCCAAGGUUUUCCUUUCUUCCUCUCUGCCUUACUCCAGAAGUCUGCAGAAUCCAAAAGGCAGCUUUAGAGUGUAAGGUUCAAAAGCUCUGCUCAUGCCUCUGGUACUUUCUCUAUGACUCUGCUGUAAAUGUGAGAGUUUAAAACCCCAAGUGUCAGAGAUGGACAAGUUCUUCUCAGACCAGUGCACAGUUGUUCCCUUUUUGGGAGCACUCAGGGUCCCUGCAGGCUGGUAAUCUCUACUACAUGAGCUGCAUUGAUAGGAAUUUGAUGUUUUUAACUUAAUAUUAUGGGGGUAAUUUUCUUUUAUCAACCCCUGAGGAUGUAUAUUAAGUGCUAUUACGUAUGACUUAAAUACAGGAAAAAUCUA